This 253-nucleotide ribosomal RNA is filed under the name uncultured bacterium. Its description in RNAcentral is "partial 16S ribosomal RNA". It matches the Rfam family "Bacterial small subunit ribosomal RNA", at positions 524 to 776 of the family's 1533-position model. The record is from RNAcentral.
UACGUAGGGGGCAAGCGUUGUCCGGAAUUAUUGGGCGUAAAGCGCGUGUAGGCGGCUCGGUAAGUCUGCGGUGAAAGUCCAGGGCUCAACCCUGGAAUGCCGGUGGAUACUGUCGAGCUCGAGUCCGGAAGAGGCGAGUGGAAUUCCUGGUGUAGCGGUGAAAUGCGCAGAUAUCAGGAGGAACACCAAUGGCGAAGGCAGCUCGCUGGGACGGUACUGACGCUGAGACGCGAAAGCGUGGGGAGCAAACAGG